This 693-nucleotide ribosomal RNA is filed under the name uncultured bacterium. RNAcentral describes it as "bacterial SSU rRNA". It matches the Rfam family "Bacterial small subunit ribosomal RNA", at positions 32 to 715 of the family's 1533-position model. The record is from RNAcentral.
AACGCUAGCUACAGGCUUAACACAUGCAAGUCGAGGGGCAGCAUGAACUUAGCUUGCUAAGUUUGAUGGCGACCGGCGCACGGGUGAGUAACACGUAUCCAACCUGCCGAUGACUCGGGGAUAGCCUUUCGAAAGAAAGAUUAAUACCCGAUGGCAUAAUUCUUCCGCAUGGUAGAACUAUUAAAGAAUUUCGGUCAUCGAUGGGGAUGCGUUCCAUUAGGUUGUUGGCGGGGUAACGGCCCACCAAGCCUUCGAUGGAUAGGGGUUCUGAGAGGAAGGUCCCCCACAUUGGAACUGAGACACGGUCCAAACUCCUACGGGAGGCAGCAGUGAGGAAUAUUGGUCAAUGGACGAGAGUCUGAACCAGCCAAGUAGCGUGAAGGAUGACUGCCCUAUGGGUUGUAAACUUCUUUUAUACGGGAAUAAAGUGAGGCACGUGUGCCUUUUUGUAUGUACCGUAUGAAUAAGGAUCGGCUAACUCCGUGCCAGCAGCCGCGGUAAUACGGAGGAUCCGAGCGUUAUCCGGAUUUAUUGGGUUUAAAGGGAGCGUAGAUGGAUAUUUAAGUCAGUUGUGAAAGUUUGCGGCUCAACCGUAAAAUUGCAGUUGAUACUGGAUAUCUUGAGUGCAGUUGAGGCAGGCGGAAUUCGUGGUGUAGCGGUGAAAUGCCUAGAUAUCACGAAGAACUCCGAUUG